UGGUUCUGGCAUNGAUGAAGAACGCAGCGAAAUGCGAUAAGUAAUGUGAAUUGCAGAAUUCAGUGAAUCAUCGAAUCUUUGAACGCACAUUGCGCCCCUCGGCAUUCCGAGGGGCAUGCCUGUUCGAGCGUCAUUUCAACCCUCAAGCCCCGCUUGGUGUUGGGUGCGGCCCCCCCGGGGCCCUCCCGCAACCCGUCGGCGGUGGGUGCCGUCCUCAAGCGCAACAGAAACUUUCGCUUCGGGGCCGGCGUCCGCCCGCCGCACAACGCACAUCCAAAGUUUGACCUCGGAUCAGGCAGGGAUACCCGCUGA
Molecule: unclassified non-coding RNA, 312 nt
Filed under: uncultured fungus
Lineage: Eukaryota; Fungi
Description: partial contains 5.8S ribosomal RNA and internal transcribed spacer 2
Rfam family: 5.8S ribosomal RNA (bases 1-133)
Source: RNAcentral